GGGCUUUAUUCGGGCUGAGCCAUGGUAAGCUCAAACUCGGCUCAUAGUUUAAUCGGGUUUAAUGAAACGGCUCAAACUCGGCCCGGCUCACAAUUAAUCGGGCUCGGCUCAAAUAAAAUCGGGCCUAGCUAUCGGGCUUCGUUCGGGUAGGCCCGGCUCAAUUGCCGGUCCUAUAUAUAUAUAUAUAUAUAUAUAUAUAU
RNAcentral lists this long non-coding RNA (200 nucleotides) under Erythranthe guttata (spotted monkey flower). RNAcentral describes it as "long non-coding RNA (EGUT_LNC003021)". Lineage: Eukaryota; Viridiplantae; Streptophyta; Magnoliopsida; Lamiales; Phrymaceae. The record is from RNAcentral.